RNAcentral lists this ribosomal RNA (494 nucleotides) under uncultured bacterium. Its description in RNAcentral is "partial 16S ribosomal RNA". It matches the Rfam family "Bacterial small subunit ribosomal RNA", at positions 28 to 507 of the family's 1533-position model. The record is from RNAcentral.
GACGAACGCUGGCGGCGUGCCUAAUACAUGCAAGUCGAACGCUGGAGGAGGAGCUUGCCCUUCUGGAUGAGUUGCGAACGGGUGAGUAACGCGUAGGUAACCUGCCUCGUAGCGGGGGAGAACUAUUGGAAACGAUAGCUAAUACCGCAUAACAGUAGAUGUUGCAUGACAUUUACUUAAAAGGUGCAAUUUCAUCACUACCAGAUGGAGCUGCGUUGAAUUAUCUAGUUGGUGGGGUAACGGCUAACCAAGGCGACGAUCAUUAGCCGACUGGAGAGGGGGAUCGGCAACACUGGAAUUGGGACACGGCCCAGACUCCUACGGGAGGAAGCGGAGGGGAAUUUUGGGAAUGGAGGGAAGUCUGGACGGGGCAAGGCGGGUGGGGUGAGGAGGGUUUUCGAUCGUAAAGACCUGUUGUAAAGGGAGGAAGAGUGUGGGAGUGAAAUGUUCACACUGUGACGGUAUCUUACCAGAAAGGGACGGCUAACUACGUG